GUGGGGCUGUGGCUCAGUGGCAGAGCGCCCGCUUCGCACGUGUGAGACACUGGGUUCCAUCCUCAGCACCACA
Molecule: transfer RNA, 73 nt
Filed under: Marmota monax (woodchuck)
Lineage: Eukaryota; Metazoa; Chordata; Mammalia; Rodentia; Sciuridae
Description: tRNA.Ala
Rfam family: tRNA
About the family: Transfer RNA (tRNA) molecules are approximately 80 nucleotides in length.
Source: RNAcentral